Molecule: ribosomal RNA, 253 nt
Filed under: uncultured bacterium
Lineage: Bacteria
Description: partial 16S ribosomal RNA
Rfam family: Bacterial small subunit ribosomal RNA
Source: RNAcentral
UACAGAGGUCGCAAGCGUUGUUCGGAUUUACUGGGCGUAAAGGGCGCGUAGGCGGUCUUGCGUGUCAGAUGUGAAAUCUCCGGGCUCAACCCGGAAAGUGCGUCUGAAACUACAGGACUCGAGUCUGGGAGAGGGAAUCGGAAUGCAGGGUGUAGCGGUGAAAUGCGUUGAUAUCCUGCAGAACACCGGAGGCGAAGGCGGAUUCCUUGAACAGCACUGACGCUGAGGCGCGAAAGUCGGGGGAGCAAACAGG